Molecule: long non-coding RNA, 236 nt
Organism: Cydia amplana
Lineage: Eukaryota; Metazoa; Arthropoda; Insecta; Lepidoptera; Tortricidae
Exons: 2
Source: RefSeq, a predicted model, not a curated record
UUGAGCACUUCCUCGCCCGCCUCCUCGGCGGUGCGGUACGCGGUGUGCCCCUCCUGCCACAGGAACUCGCGGGUACGCAGGAACGGCUGCGGCGGCUUGAACUCCCAACGCUGUACUUACCGAGUAUUUGAAGCACUUCCUCGCCCGCCUCCUCGGCGGUGCGGUACGCGGUGUGCCCCUCCUGCCACAGGAACUCGCGGGUGCGCAGGAACGGCUGCGGCUGCUUGAACUCCCAA